This is a ribosomal RNA of Danio rerio (zebrafish), 117 nucleotides long. The record is from Ensembl. NCBI's taxonomy places the organism in Eukaryota, Metazoa, Chordata, Actinopteri, Cypriniformes, Danionidae.
AGCCAUGGCCAUAUCACCCUGUAGCUCAAGACAGGUUAUUCACUGAAGUUAAGCAGGGCUGAGCCUGGUCAGUACAAGGAUGAGAGACCAGACAGGAAAACUAGGUUGCUGUUGGAA